CUCUGGGAUAAGCCUGGGAAACUGGGUCUAAUACCGGAUAGGAGCGUCCACCGCAUGGUGGGUGUUGGAAAGAUUUAUCGGUUUUGGAUGGACUCGCGGCCUAUCAGCUUGUUGGUGAGGUAAUGGCUCACCAAGGCGACGACGGGUAGCCGGCCUGAGAGGGUGACCGGCCACACUGGGACUGAGACACGGCCCAGACUCCUACGGGAGGCAGCAGUGGGGAAUAUUGCACAAUGGGCGCAAGCCUGAUGCAGCGACGCCGCGUGAGGGAUGACGGCCUUCGGGUUGUAAACCUCUUUCAGUAGGGAAGAAGCGAAAGUGACGGUACCUGCAGAAGAAGCACCGGCUAACUACGUGCCAGCAGCCGCGGUAAUACGUAGGGUGCGAGCGUUAUCCGGAAUUAUUGGGCGUAAAGAGCUCGUAGGCGGUUUGUCGCGUCUGUCGUGAAAGUCCGGGGCUUAACCCCGGAUCUGCGGUGGGUACGGGCAGACUAGAGUGCAGUAGGGGAGACUGGAAUUCCUGGUGUAGCGGUGGAAUGCGCAGAUAUCAGGAGGAACACCGAUGGCGAAGGCAGGUCUCUGGGCUGUAACUGACGCUGAGGAGCGAAAGCAUGGGGAGCGAACAGGAUUAGAUACCCUGGUAGUCCAUGCCGUAAACGUUGGGCACUAGGUGUGGGGACCAUUCCACGGUUUCCGCGCCGCAGCUAACGCAUUAAGUGCCCCGCCUGGGGAGUACGGCCGCAAGGCUAAAACUCAAAGGAAUUGACGGGGGCCCGCACAAGCGGCGGAGCAUGCGGAUUAAUUCGAUGCAACGCGAAGAACCUUACCAAGGCUUGACAUGUUCUCGAUCGCCGUAGAGAUACGGUUUCCCCUUUGGGGCGGGUUCACAGGUGGUGCAUGGUUGUCGUCAGCUCGUGUCGUGAGAUGUUGGGUUAAGUCCCGCAACGAGCGCAACCCUCGUUCCAUGUUGCCAGCACGUAAUGGUGGGGACUCAUGGGAGACUGCCGGGGUCAACUCGGAGGAAGGUGAGGACGACGUCAAAUCAUCAUGCCCCUUAUGUCUUGGGCUUCACGCAUGCUACAAUGGCCGGUACAAUGGGUUGCGAUACUGUGAGGUGGAGCUAAUCCCAAAAAGCCGGUCUCAGUUCGGAUUGGGGUCUGCAACUCGACCCCAUGAAGUCGGAGUCGCUAGUAAUCGCAGAUCAGCAACGCUGCGGUGAAUACGUUCCCGGGCCUUGU
Molecule: ribosomal RNA, 1237 nt
Filed under: Micrococcus sp.
Lineage: Bacteria; Bacillati; Actinomycetota; Actinomycetes; Micrococcales; Micrococcaceae
Description: bacterial SSU rRNA
Rfam family: Bacterial small subunit ribosomal RNA
Source: RNAcentral